ACAACGAAGAGUUUGAUCCUGGCUCAGGAUGAACGCUAGCGACAGGCUUAACACAUGCAAGUCGAGGGGCAUCAGGGAUGGUAGCAAUACCAUCUGCUGGCGACCGGCGCACGGGUGAGUAACACGUAUGCAACCUGCCCGUCACAGGGGGAUAAGCGGAAGAAAUUCCGUCUAA
Molecule: ribosomal RNA, 175 nt
Filed under: Paramuribaculum sp.
Lineage: Bacteria; Pseudomonadati; Bacteroidota; Bacteroidia; Bacteroidales; Muribaculaceae
Description: partial 16S ribosomal RNA
Rfam family: Bacterial small subunit ribosomal RNA
Source: RNAcentral